Molecule: ribosomal RNA, 450 nt
Filed under: Leptodactylus rhodomystax
Lineage: Eukaryota; Metazoa; Chordata; Amphibia; Anura; Leptodactylidae
Description: partial 12S ribosomal RNA
Rfam family: Bacterial large subunit ribosomal RNA (bases 231-450)
Source: RNAcentral
AAUAUAGCUUAAUCAAAGCAUCUCGCUUACACCGAGAAAAUACCUGUUAAACUCAGAUUACCACGAGCCAAAAAUCUAGCCCAAACCCAAAUUAAUGGUAACAACACCCAACAUACACAAACUAAACCAUUCUUAUAUUCUAGUAAAGGAGAUUGAAACCCUUUUAGGAGCUAUAUUUUGUACCGCAAGGGAAUGAUGAAAUAAAAAUGAAACAGACAUAAAGCGCAAUAAAGUAGAGACUAACUCUCGUACCUUUCGCAUCAUGGUUUAACUAGUUUAACCAAGCAAAAAGAUCUAAAGUUUGACCUCCCGAAACUAAGCGAGCUACUUCAAGGCAGCUUUAUGAGCAAACCCGUCUCUGUUGCAAAAGAGUGGGAAGACCUUCAAGUAGAGGUGAUAGACCUACCGAGCUUAGUGAUAGCUGGUUGCUUGAGAAAAGGAUUUUAGUCC